UGUUCUGUGGCGGAGUUGGUUAACGCGCCCUGUCUAGCGAACUUGGGCAGACGUGGGUUCAAAUCCUACCAGAACUA
This is a non-coding RNA of Aedes albopictus (Asian tiger mosquito), 77 nucleotides long. NCBI's taxonomy places the organism in Eukaryota, Metazoa, Arthropoda, Insecta, Diptera, Culicidae. The record is from Rfam.